CCUCUCGUUCGUCUCCUGCAGAUCCAUCAUAGCCAUGUAUCUCUGCAAGGGAACCUGAUAGUGCCUUAGCGUGUGCAUCAUCUUCUUCACCUGAAGAUCUUGCGAGAUAACAGUGGGAGGAAGCAGCCCGCGGAGGUAGUGAGCGUCGCGCUCCCUCUGGCUAAAGGCGAGGCCUUUGUUGUGAUGCGGAUCGCGCAGCAGAGUGUACGCUCUCCUUUGGCGGAGCCCAAUGUAGAACUCAUCAUUCAACAGCUUCUCAUUGUUUGUCCCAACAUCAAUUGUUACAGGCAGACACUAGCAAACGACCAAAAUAUAUAUAUAGAAUGAGACUAUGAGAGAAUGUGGUUGAAUGAGAAUAGAGCUGAUUCUUACCGCAGAUGGACGAACACCUCCAAGGGCUGUAUAUAGAGAAAGUUUCCCAACUGGUAUUCCCAUUCCCUGAAGAAAUUAAUGAUACAUAGUAAGAAAAUAAAUCUAGACACACCAUUGUCUUUUUAAAGAUGGUUUAUUAUGCUAUUACAAACUAGGAGAAAUGUUAUAUAGACAAAACACGAAAGAAUCCAAAUCAAACAAACUUGCCUGACAACCAAGAUCCCCUAAACCUAAAAUGCGCUCCCCAUCGGUGACAACAAUGACCUGGAUAUUCUUCUCAGGCCAAUUCCUCAGCACUUCAAGAAUCUUACCUCUAUUAAAGAUUAAAAAUGAGUCCAAGAAAAAAUGCUUAAAAAAACAAUGUUCCAAAUUUGCUUAGGCGGCGGGGCCUAUUCAGUUAUGAUCAAAACAAUUUUUUUUGGUGUCAGCGGAGCAUAGACACUAAUCUUCUAUAAAAAAGAGAGACUCACUUUUCUUUCAAGCUGAUGAAAAGCCCCUGCGGACGCAAGAAAAUGCUUCCAUACUUCUGGCAAGCUUCACCAACGGUAGGAGUAUAAACAACAGGCAGCAACUCUUCAACAUGCUCGAUAAGAAGCUUGUAAAACAGCCUCUCGUUCGUCUCCUGCAGAUCCAUCAUAGCCAUGUAUCUCUGCAAGGGAACCUGAUAGUGCCUUAGCGUGUGCAUCAUCUUCUUCACCUGAAGAUCUUGCGAGAUAACAGUGGGAGGAAGCAGCCCGCGGAGGUAGUGAGCGUCGCGCUCCCUCUGGCUAAAGGCGAGGCCUUUGUUGUGAUGCGGAUCGCGCAGCAGAGUGUAGCCGCUCGCGACGGAGAGAGACCAGGGGGUGAUGGGCAUGUCCUCCGUGGCGGCGUCUUCCCCGUAGACAUCCUG
Molecule: long non-coding RNA, 1261 nt
Filed under: Brassica napus (rape)
Lineage: Eukaryota; Viridiplantae; Streptophyta; Magnoliopsida; Brassicales; Brassicaceae
Description: long non-coding RNA (BNAP_LNC018925)
Source: RNAcentral